This 425-nucleotide ribosomal RNA is filed under the name uncultured bacterium. Its description in RNAcentral is "partial 16S ribosomal RNA". It matches the Rfam family "Bacterial small subunit ribosomal RNA", at positions 354 to 796 of the family's 1533-position model. The record is from RNAcentral.
GUGAGGAAUUUUGCGCAAUGGGGGCAACCCUGACGCAGCGACGCCGCGUGGAGGACGAAGUCUUUCGGGAUGUAAACUCCUGUCAGUGGGGACGAUAAUGACGGUACCCACAGAGGAAGCACCGGCUAACUCCGUGCCAGCAGCCGCGGUAAGACGGAGGGUGCAAGCGUUGUUCGGAAUUACUGGGCGUAAAGCGUAUGUAGGCGGCAAGUUAAGUUCAAUGUUAAAGCCCACGGCUCAACCGAGGAGAUGCAUUGAAUACUGGCUAGCUAGAUGGUGUUAGAGGAAGACGGAAUUCCCAGUGUAGCGGUGAAAUGCGUAGAUAUUGGGAGGAACAUCGGUAGCGAAAGCGGUCUUCUGGGACAUACCUGACGCUGAGGUACGAAAGCGUGGGGAGCAAACGGGAUUAGAAACCCCUGUAGUCC